AGCAGCCGCGGUAAUUCCAGCUCCAAUAGCGUAUAUUAAAGUUGUUGCAGUUAAAAAGCUCGUAGUUGAAUUUCGGGAUCAGUUUGUUGGUCGUGCUUCGGUACGUACUGUCAUUACUGGUUUCUACCUUCUGAAGAACCUUGAUGUCAUUAAUUUGGUGUCUUGGGGGAUCAGGACUGUUACUUUGAAAAAAUUAGAGUGUUUAAAGCAAGCAUACGCUUGAAUACAUUAGCAUGGAAUAAUGAAAUAGGACGUUUGAUUCUAUUUUGUUGGUUUCUAGGAUCGACGUAAUGAUUAAUAGGGAUAGUUGGGGGCAUUAGUAUUCAAUUGUCAGAGGUGAAAUUCUUGGAUUUAUUGAAGACUAACUACUGCGAAAGCAUUUGCCAAGGAUGUUUUCAUUAAUCAAGAACGAAAGUUAGGGGAUCGAAGACGAUCAGAUACCGUCGUAGUCUUAACCAUAAACUAUGCCGACUAGGGAUCGGAUGAUGUUAUUUUUAAUGACUCAUUCGGCGCCUUACGG
Molecule: ribosomal RNA, 520 nt
Filed under: uncultured Glomus
Lineage: Eukaryota; Fungi; Glomeromycota; Glomeromycetes; Glomerales; Glomeraceae
Description: SSU rRNA
Rfam family: Eukaryotic small subunit ribosomal RNA
Source: RNAcentral